UUGCUUUGGCAGCAGGUAUACUAAAAUUGGAACGAUAUAGAUUAGCAUGGCCCCUGCGCACGAUGACAUGCGAGUUUGUGAAGCGUUCUGUGUUUAA
Molecule: small nuclear RNA, 97 nt
Organism: Loxodonta africana (African savanna elephant)
Lineage: Eukaryota; Metazoa; Chordata; Mammalia; Proboscidea; Elephantidae
Source: Ensembl